UUUCCACUUCCACUCCGAGAUUAAUAAUGACUGAAGGAGCCCGCCUAAGUGUUGAUGUUUUGUUUUGACCUGCUGACACACUAGACACUUGGAAACAAACUCGGCUAUCUCUCUUUUCAUCUUGUUCUACCAAAAUCAGAAUCACAUACUUUGAUACAUUUUGGUGCUUCCGGGAUGCAUGGUAAAUUUUGAGCUAUGAGCCUCUAUCAUAAUGUCCUUUUUUAGUUCACUGUCACCUAGAGCACACACCCUGUCCUGAAAUCUGAGCAACCCAUCG
This 277-nucleotide long non-coding RNA is filed under the name Carica papaya (papaya). RNAcentral describes it as "long non-coding RNA (CPAP_LNC001247)". Lineage: Eukaryota; Viridiplantae; Streptophyta; Magnoliopsida; Brassicales; Caricaceae. The record is from RNAcentral.